RNAcentral lists this non-coding RNA (21 nucleotides) under Arabidopsis thaliana (thale cress). Lineage: Eukaryota; Viridiplantae; Streptophyta; Magnoliopsida; Brassicales; Brassicaceae. The record is from RNAcentral.
CUUAGCCAACGACACGUGCCU